UUUUUAUUUAUCUUUCACUUGUUUCAGUCAUUGGACUGUGGCCAUGCAAGGGUACAACCUCAAAGGGUUUUUUAGCUAAAGAAAUAGA
Long non-coding RNA from Octopus sinensis (East Asian common octopus), 88 nucleotides. RefSeq lists it as uncharacterized. The transcript is spliced from 3 exons. NCBI's taxonomy places the organism in Eukaryota, Metazoa, Mollusca, Cephalopoda, Octopoda, Octopodidae. The record is from RefSeq and is a predicted model, not a curated record.